ACAGAUGCAGCGACAUGUAUUGCAUUUGCCAAGGAAGCAAUUAACAGAUGUUUUAAGAAGGACACUAACAUCCAAAUACAGUAAUGGAGAAACCUUGACUAUUCAAGAAACAAGGGAGAAGUUGAAGUUGCUGGUAGGAGGAGCACAGACAACGUGGGGAUCAUCUACAGCUGACUCUCAUGUAGCCCCUAUUGCAACCAGCCAGGAUGAUAUACCACCAAGAACAAUGGCUCAUAGCUUUCGGAAGGUCAUUAUUCCCCUUGGCACCAACCCAAUGCUAAAGGAGAAAUAUAUCAAUUUCUACCAAGGAAUCAGAUUUGGGAGGAUUCUGGAAGACCUGGACACAUUUGCAGUUGACAUUAGUUACGCGCACUCCCACGAUUCUGCACACGCUGAUAUGAAGUCACCACUCAGGGUUGUCACAGCUCUGGUGGACAGAAUAGCAUAUUUUCCAAUUGAACCGCUCAAACAGUAAAGCACGUCGAUGAAGUGGGGGAAUGGCAUCGAAGGGCCAGAAGUCGUCACAUUGGGUUUAAACCUUAGUCGGCAUUCAACCGUGUGCAUGACAGGUGGUGUCGAAAUUGGUCUAUAGCUCUGCCUGAACUGCUGUCCAAUUGGUUUACAAGUCCGGCUGAAGUGACAGGCCAUCAAAAACUGCACAGUAUGACUGAUUCGGAUACGGCCCUCAACACUCGCCCAGUCGUGUCGAGAGGAUCGGUGUCUUUGCCGAUUACACGGAAUUGAGCACCCGGGCCAGACUGACACUUUCCGGAGCCUGUCCGAGACGGAACUCGAGCCAAGGAAUCAUAGGUCCAGGUGGUGUCGAAAUUGGUCUAUAGCUCUGCCUGAACUGCGUUCCAAUUGGUUUACAAGUCCGGCUGAAGUGACAGGCCAUCAAAAACUGCACAGUAUGACUGAUUCGGAGACGGCCCUCACCAUUCGCCCAGUCGUGUCGAGAGGAUCGGUGUCUUUGCCGAUUACACGGAAUUGAGCACCCGGGCCAGACUGACACUUUCCGGAGCCUGUCCGAGACGGAACUCGAGCCGAGGAAUCAUAGGUCCAGGUGUGACAGAAAACUUAAAGCUCAUGUCUGACGAUGACUUUUUUUGAGUCAGGAAGUAAGGUAUGUUUUUUUUCCAUGCAAGCAAGCCCUUUUGUUGGGUCAAAUGACAUCAGAAAUGCUGCUUCUACAUGGAUUUUACCUAAAAUGUGCCAAAAAAUAAAAAAAAAAGUUUGUUUGAAUCUUGUUCAAAACUUGCUAUGAUGCACAUAUAAUGCCAUUGAUGAUUUUUUUUUCACUUAUUAAGUCAUAUGUUACAUCUGAUUUGCUAUUAGAAUCGAAAGUGAUGCCCUGUAUGGAGUCUAAGUGCUGCAUGUAUGAUGUAACCAAUGUCGGCCUUUCUACCUUAAUUCUUGACGCGAAACGCUUGUUACGCGUGACGCUUUCAACACUAACUGUAAUGAAUAAAUCUGUGUGUCAUGGUACUGGAACUUUGUGAUCUUUGUUAAAACAGAUUAUACCUAUGGAAAAAGUGCCUUUAAUUCAAAUUUGAAGGUGUUGGGUUCCCUUAUAGGUUACAUAACCCUAAACGGAAGUGGAAU
Long non-coding RNA from Dreissena polymorpha, 1602 nucleotides. RefSeq lists it as uncharacterized. NCBI's taxonomy places the organism in Eukaryota, Metazoa, Mollusca, Bivalvia, Myida, Dreissenidae. The record is from RefSeq and is a predicted model, not a curated record. The transcript is spliced from 9 exons.